RNAcentral lists this ribosomal RNA (182 nucleotides) under Priestia veravalensis. Its description in RNAcentral is "Bacillus sp. SGD-V-76 partial 16S ribosomal RNA". It matches the Rfam family "Bacterial small subunit ribosomal RNA", at positions 1 to 176 of the family's 1533-position model. The record is from RNAcentral. Lineage: Bacteria; Bacillati; Bacillota; Bacilli; Caryophanales; Bacillaceae.
UUCUUCGGAGAGUUUGAUCCUGGCUCAGGAUGAACGCUGGCGGCGUGCCUAAUACAUGCAAGUCGAGCGAACUGAUUAGAAGCUUGCUUCUAUGACGUUAGCGGCGGACGGGUGAGUAACACGUGGGCAACCUGCCUGUAAGACUGGGAUAACUCCGGGAAACCGGAGCUAAUACCGGAUAA